ACUGACAGCCAUGGUUACCGCGGCUGCUGGCACGGAGUUAGCCGGUGCUUCUUCUGCGAGUAACGUCACAGAUGUAAGGUAUUAACUUACACCCUUUCCUCCUCGCUGAAAGUGCUUUACAACCCGAAGGCCUUCUUCACACACGCGGCAUGGCUGCAUCAGGGUUUCCCCCAUUGUGCAAUAUUCCCCACUGCUGCCUCCCGUAGGAGUCUGGGCCGUGUCUCAGUCCCAGUGUGGCUGAUCAUCCUCUCAGACCAGCUAGGGAUCGUCGACUAGGUGAGCCUUUACCUCACCUACUAGCUAAUCCCACCUGGGCUUAUCCAUCAGCGCAAGGCCCGAAGGUCCCCUGCUUUCCCCCGUAGGGCGUAUGCGGUAUUAGCAGUCGUUUCCAACUGUUAUCCCCCACAAAUGGGCAAAUUCCCAGGCAUUACUCACCCGUCCGCCGCUCGUCAUCUUCAAAAGCAAGCUUUUGAAAUGUUACCGCUCGACUUGCAUGUGUUAGGCCUGCCGCCAGCGUUCAAU
This 522-nucleotide ribosomal RNA is filed under the name uncultured bacterium. RNAcentral describes it as "partial 16S ribosomal RNA". The record is from RNAcentral.